AACGAACGCUGGCGGCAGGCCUAACACAUGCAAGUCGAACGCCGUAGUAAUACGGAGUGGCAGACGGGUGAGUAACGCGUGGGAACAUACCCUUUGGUUCGGGAUAACUCAGGGAAACUUGAGCUAAUACCGGAUACGUUCGCGAGAAGAAAGAUUUAGUCGCCGAAGGAUUGGCCCGCGUCUGAUUAGCUUGUUGGUGUGGUAACGGCGCACCAAGGCGACGAUCAGUAGCUGGUCGAGAGGAUGAUCAGCCACAUUGGGACUGAGACACGGCCCAAACUCCUACGGGAGGCAGCAGUGGGGAAUAUUGGACAAUGGGCGCAAGCCUGAUCCAGCCAUGCCGCGUGGGUGAUGAAGG
This 358-nucleotide ribosomal RNA is filed under the name uncultured bacterium. RNAcentral describes it as "bacterial SSU rRNA". It matches the Rfam family "Bacterial small subunit ribosomal RNA", at positions 29 to 414 of the family's 1533-position model. The record is from RNAcentral.